AGCGAACGCUGGCGGCAGGCUUAACACAUGCAAGUCGAGCGGGCAUCUUCGGAUGUCAGCGGCAGACGGGUGAGUAACACGUGGGAACGUACCCUUCGGUUCGGAACAACUCUGGGAAACUGGAGCUAAUACCGGAUACGCCCUAUGGGGAAAGGUUUACUGCCGAAGGAUCGGCCCGCGUCUGAUUAGCUAGUUGGUGGGGUAACGGCCUACCAAGGCGACGAUCAGUAGCUGGUCUGAGAGGAUGAUCAGCCACACUGGGACUGAGACACGGCCCAGACUCCUACGGGAGGCAGCAGUGGGGAAUAUUGGACAAUGGGCGCAAGCCUGAUCCAGCCAUGCCGCGUGAGUGAUGAAGGCCUUAGGGUUGUAAAGCUCUUUUGUCCGGGACGAUAAUGACGGUACCGGAAGAAUAAGCCCCGGCUAACUUCGUG
Molecule: ribosomal RNA, 434 nt
Filed under: uncultured bacterium
Lineage: Bacteria
Description: partial 16S ribosomal RNA
Rfam family: Bacterial small subunit ribosomal RNA
Source: RNAcentral